RNAcentral lists this ribosomal RNA (447 nucleotides) under uncultured bacterium. RNAcentral's name for it is "bacterial SSU rRNA". It matches the Rfam family "Bacterial small subunit ribosomal RNA", at positions 329 to 793 of the family's 1533-position model. The record is from RNAcentral.
UGCCAGACUCCUACGGGAGGCAGCAGUGGGGAAUAUUGCACAAUGGGGGAAACCCUGAUGCAGCAACGCCGCGUGAGUGAAGAAGUAUUUCGGUAUGUAAAGCUCUAUCAGCAGGGAAGAAAAUGACGGUACCUGAGUAAGAAGCCCCGGCUAACUACGUGCCAGCAGCCGCGGUAAUACGUAGGGGGCAAGCGUUAUCCGGAUUUACUGGGUGUAAAGGGAGCGUAGACGGCGAUACAAGUCUGAAGUGAAAGCCCGGGGCUCAACCCCGGGACUGCUUUGGAAACUGUGUUGCUGGAGUGCUGGAGAGGCAAGCGGAAUUCCUAGUGUAGCGGUGAAAUGCGUAGAUAUUAGGAGGAACACCAGUGGCGAAGGCGGCCUGCUGGACAGUAACUGACGUUGAGGCUCGAAAGCGUGGGGAGCAAACAGGAUUAGAUACCCCCGUAA